This 467-nucleotide ribosomal RNA is filed under the name uncultured bacterium. RNAcentral describes it as "bacterial SSU rRNA". It matches the Rfam family "Bacterial small subunit ribosomal RNA", at positions 976 to 1442 of the family's 1533-position model. The record is from RNAcentral.
UGGGCUUGACAUCCCACGAACCUCACCGAAAGGUGGGAAUGCCCGCAAGGGAGCGCGGAGACAGGUGGUGCAUGGCUGUCGUCAGCUCGUGUCGUGAGAUGUUGGGUUAAGUCCCGCAACGAGCGCAACCCUCACCCCUUGUUGCUACCAGGUCAGGCUGGGCACUCUAGGGGAACUGCCCCGGUCAACGGGGAGGAAGGCGGGGAUGACGUCAAGUCACCAUGCCCCUUACGUCCUGGGCUACACACGUGCUACAAUGGCCGGUACAAAGGGAUGCAACACCGCGAGGUAGAGCUAAACCCAAAAAGCCGGUCUAAGUUCAGAUUGGAGUCUGCAACUCGACUCCAUGAAGGAGGAAUCGCUAGUAAUCGCGUAUCAGCACGACGCGGUGAAUACGUUCCCGGGCCUUGUACACACCGCCCGUCACACCACGAAAGCCAGCUGUACUCGAAGUCGCUGAGAAUCUC